RNAcentral lists this unclassified non-coding RNA (376 nucleotides) under uncultured fungus. Its description in RNAcentral is "sequence contains ITS1". The stretch from base 1 to 103 matches the Rfam family "5.8S ribosomal RNA", at positions 50 to 154 of the family's 154-position model. Lineage: Eukaryota; Fungi. The record is from RNAcentral.
AAACUGCGAAAAGUAAUGUGAACUGCAUACUUUGUGAAUCAUCGAAUCUUCGAAUGCACAUUGCGCCACGUGCCCGUCACGUGGCAUGCCUGUUUGAGUAUCACGCACGCCAUGCUGCGCUCUUCCGAGCGCGCGACCUGAGAUCCAAAUGUAUAUACUGAUGUAUGUGCAUCUGCUUCUUCAAAGACUGGCGCGGGGAGGUCCAUUCGUGGACUGCACUGCAUGUCGCGCUCGCCUUUUGGGAUAACACUUCAGGGGGCGGCGGGGCGCAGGAGCCGCGCCAGGCGGGAGAGAGGGAGCAUCUCCGCCACAGCAGCAUACUUAUCUAUCUGCUUGCGCAGAUCUCAAAUCAGGCAAGACUACCCGCCGAACUUAA